CCUGCUGGAGGAGGAGGAGGAGGAGGAGGAGGAGGAGGAAGAGGAGGAGGAACCACCCCGGAUCCUUCUGUAUCACGAACCACGAUCAUUUGAAGUAGGAAUGCUGGUCUGGCUUAAAUACCAAAAAUACCCAUUCUGGCCAGCCGUGGUCAAGAGUGUCCGGCGGAGGGACAAGAAGGCCAGUGUGCUCUUCAUUGAGGGCAACAUGAAUCCCAAGGGCCGAGGGUUAGUGAUCACUCUCAUAGUUAGGGCAUGGGCAGGAGUGGGAAACCUUUGUGGUCCCCCUGACUAGAGCUGCCGACAUGGUCCAAAGUCCACAGUGUCACUUGGUAUCUCAGCCAGAUGGCUAGAACUGGCAGCUAGGACACACUGUCCCUGCAUGCUGUACCAGAGCAGAGCUACCGCAGACCAUGGUUCUUAGAGAACUGCCUCUGGCCAGUCCUCGCCCACAUCAGCAGCACAGUGAGCUGGCCAGCCUGUUCACAGUGGCCUCAGAGCCCCUUCCGGUACCUUCCAGAGGUGACCUUGGGCACCUGUGUGCACCCAGGGUGGCUGGUUGGAGUAGGGACCUGGGCCCCCAGUGCUAUGGAGGUGCUCCAGUCUAAAGCAGGGUUAAGUCUCGGAGGAGGGUCCCUCUCCUGGGUUGAAGCCAUCUGUGCUCACCUUGGCCUCUGCUCUGUCAAGAAUCACCGUGUCGCUGCGACGGCUCAAGCACUUUGACUGCAAGGAAA
RNAcentral lists this long non-coding RNA (731 nucleotides) under Rattus norvegicus (Norway rat). RNAcentral's name for it is "long non-coding RNA NONRATT026505". Lineage: Eukaryota; Metazoa; Chordata; Mammalia; Rodentia; Muridae. The record is from RNAcentral.